Molecule: ribosomal RNA, 2076 nt
Filed under: Triticum aestivum (bread wheat)
Lineage: Eukaryota; Viridiplantae; Streptophyta; Magnoliopsida; Poales; Poaceae
Description: partial small subunit ribosomal RNA
Source: RNAcentral
AUGGGGAGAACAUGUUUUUAUGUUCAUCAUGUGGAUAAAGAGGCCUUUUUGAAAGGCAAUGUUGAGACGGACCCGGAUGAGCUUGACAUGGUGUUUGAGAGUAGUCCUAGCUAUGCGGAGCUUUUGAAACAAGUGAGGAAAGAUUUGAAUUGGAUGGACCCAAGUGACGUUGUUGAGUUCGAGGGAAGGCAUAAUGUUGGUUUAGGAAUGCACAUCCGUUGGAAGACAAUGCGUGUGAACUCCGAGCAACGUUGGGUUGCAUACAAGGAGACGGUUUCGGAAUCUCUAGACAAGGCUCUUGAGUUAUUUGCCUCCAAGAAGGUUGAGUCUACCUUGAAUUUAGACUUGAACCGGAACCCCUCCCCGUUGGUUGCUAGCACUCCCCCACCCAUGAACCAAGAUCAAAUGAGUGAACCUCAAUUCACGCAAGAAGAUUGGCCAACAUUGAGCCCGACUCCAAACAACCAAAAUGAAGGUUUUGAAGAGGAGAAUGAUGAGUACGAGGAGGAUGACAACGAAGUUGACCUCCAUGACAACAACGUGGGUGAUCUCGACCAAUAUCAUGUGCAAGAGACAAUGGACCAAUCCAUCCCUUUUUCCGGUGCAUAUGCAUCGGACUCGGAUGACGAUGGUCCUGAUGAAGAAGUUGAUGAGGAGGGGUUCACACCGAAGGAGGCCGAAGCAUUCAAGAAGGUAUUCGGGCGGGAUCACAAGACACCAUUGUUCAAGGAUCUUAGUCUCGCGGAUGAAGCCGUUGUGGAUGGUGGAAAAUGCAUAUCUCUUGGAGCUAGGCCAAGUUCUCACCGUGAUUUGGAAGACGGCAAGAAUGGGAUAUAUCCCAGUUGUGAGUUUCAAUCCUUCUUGGAAUUGAAGAUGUGGCUCGACAACUACUCGGUUACACAUUAUCGUCCACAUAAAGUGGCUAACUCGGACGUGAAUGUGCGUUACACGGUCAAAUGUGAAGUGCCAACAUGUCCAUGGAUUGUGCGUGCAAGGCCAUGGAAAGGAGGUCCCACUUGGCGCAUAGUGAGUUAUCUACCAACUCACAUGUGCCGGCACAAGAAUGCGGAUGGCAAGCUUGUGUACCAGCAACACAGACAACUCACGUCCGAGUUCAUUGCUUACAGGCUGUCCAACCAAAUAUCCACACUUCCAACAAUGAGCAUCAAGAGUGUCAUUGACCUUGUGAAAGCCAUCUUUCAUUACAAGGUGAAGUACGGCAAGGCAUGGAAGGCGAAGCAAGCCGCAUUCAAGAUGUUGUAUGGCAAUUGGGAGGAAGCAUACAACCGACUCCCUAGGUUGUUGUUAGCUAUGGCCGCCACAAACCCAGGCAUGGUUCACGUGGUUGAGCCUCAUGGGCACCAAACAUUGAUUCAUAACGGGAGGACCGUCCGAGUAUUUGGCCGUGCAUUUUGGGCCUUUGAGCAAUGUGUGAGGGCUUUUGAGCAUUGUCGGCCCGUCAUCGCCAUUGAUGGCACGUUCUUGACCGGACAAUACAAGGGCACUUUAUUGGUUGCAAUAGCAAGUGAUGCCAAUAACCGGGUGUUGCAUUUGGCUUUCGCUUUGGUUGAGGUGGAGAACAAUGAUAACUGGGAGUGGUUCUUGCGUCAACCGAGAACAAGGGUAUUACCUGCUGAAAGGGAAAUUUGUGUCAUAUCGGAUCGCCAUCCUGGAAUUCUAAAUGCGGUGGUGGUUGACAUUCCCGGACAUACAAAGUUGCAUCAUCGAUGGUGCAUGAGGCACUUUUGUGCAAACUUCUAUAGGGCAUGUGGUAUCAAGGAGUUGGCCGAUGAUCUUCAGGAUUGUUGUCUCGCUUUCACCAACAAGUGGUUUUCCACAUUGUUCAAUGCAUUGCUCAGACACAAGAAACUUGACCCCGGCGGUCAGAAGUUUCUGAAUAAGAACAUUGCCGAAAGGAAUAUGUGGGCACGUGCUUUCGAUGAAGAUGGCCGGAGGUACGGUCAAAUGACAAGCAAUAUGGCAGAAUGCUUCAAUAAGGUGCUCAAGGGUGUACGUGCAUUACCCGUGACGGCAAUAGUUCAAUACACAUUUGACAAGUUGAAUGAAUACUUUUGA